CGAACUCAAUCAAACUCCGAAUGUUAUCAAAUAAAAUCAGCAGUCAGACUGUGGGUGAUAAGGUCCAUGGUCAAAAGGGAAAGAGCCCAGACCGUCAGCUAAGGUCCCCAAAUUGAUGUUAAGUGGCAAAGGAAGUGAAGACGUUUAAACAACUAGGAGGUUGGCUUAGAAGCAGCCAUCCUUUAAAGAGUGCGUAAUAGCUCACUAGUCGAAUGACUCUGCGCCGAAAAUGUACCGGGGCUAAAACAUCAUACCGAAGCUACGGAUUAAAAUAACUUUCGAGUUAUUUAAAUGGUAGGGGAAGCGUUCUGACAUCAGUGAAGCCAUAGUGGAAGCAGUGGUGGAGAGGUCAGAAGUGAGAAUGCCGGUGUAAGUAACGAAAAGAUAGGUGAGAAUCCUAUCCGUCAAAAACCCAAGGUUUCCAGGGCCAGGUUCGUCCUCCCCGGGUUAGUCGGGUCCUAAGGUGAGAAAGAAAUUUGUAGCCGAUGGCAAGCAGGCUGAGAUUCCUGCACUAGUUAAUCAACUGAUGGAGGGACAAAGUAGGCUAGACACACCCCUUAUUGGAUUGGGGUAGAAAAACUAAGUCUGAGAAGAUAGGCAAAUCCGUUUUCUUGUUUAAAGAUAAGGUUUGAAAGUAAAGUGAUUGACGUCAGACUUUCAAGAAAAGCUUCUAGGGCUAAUUGAUUAACUACCC
Molecule: ribosomal RNA, 694 nt
Filed under: Candidatus Phytoplasma solani
Lineage: Bacteria; Bacillati; Mycoplasmatota; Mollicutes; Acholeplasmatales; Acholeplasmataceae
Description: bacterial LSU rRNA
Rfam family: Bacterial large subunit ribosomal RNA
Source: RNAcentral